AGCGAACGCUGGCGGCAGGCCUAACACAUGCCAGUCGAACGAACUCUUCGGAGUUAGUGGCGGACGGGUGAGUAACACGUGGGAACGUGCCUUUAGGUUCGGAAUAACUCAGGGAAACUUGUGCUAAUACCGAAUGUGCCCUUCGGGGGAAAGAUUUAUCGCCUUUAGAGCGGCCCGCGUCUGAUUAGCUAGUUGGUGAGGUAAAGGCUCACCAAGGCGACGAUCAGUAGCUGGUCUGAGAGGAUGAUCAGCCACAUUGGGACUGAGACACGGCCCAAACUCCUACGGGAGGCAGCAGUGGGGAAUCUUGCGCAAUGGGCGAAAGCCUGACGCAGCCAUGCCGCGUGAAUGAUGAAGGUCUUAGGAUUGUAAAAUUCUUUCACCGGGGACGAUAAUGACGGUACCCGGAGAAGAAGCCCCGGCUAACUUCGU
RNAcentral lists this ribosomal RNA (432 nucleotides) under uncultured bacterium. RNAcentral's name for it is "partial 16S ribosomal RNA". It matches the Rfam family "Bacterial small subunit ribosomal RNA", at positions 29 to 506 of the family's 1533-position model. The record is from RNAcentral.